GACGAACGCUGGCGGCGUGCUUAAUACAUGCAAGUCUUAGGGGUGCAGGGUCCUUCGGGAGUCUGUAUCACUGGCGCACGGGUGAGUAACACGUAAGUAAUCUGCCUCCGGGUCGGGCAUAACACCGGGAAACCGGUGCUAAUUCCCGAUGACACUGAAAAGUCAAAGGCUUCGGCCGCCCGGAGAUGAGCUUGCGUCCGAUUAGCUAGUUGGCGGGGUAAAGGCCCACCAAGGCGACGANCGGUAGCCGGUCUGAGAGGAUGAUCGGCCACAUUGGGACGUGAGACACGGCCCAGACUCCUACGGGAGGCAGCAGUAAGGGAAUAUUGCGCAAUGGAGGCAACUCUGACGCAGCAACGCCGCGUGU
RNAcentral lists this ribosomal RNA (367 nucleotides) under uncultured bacterium. RNAcentral describes it as "bacterial SSU rRNA". It matches the Rfam family "Bacterial small subunit ribosomal RNA", at positions 28 to 404 of the family's 1533-position model. The record is from RNAcentral.